Molecule: transfer RNA, 90 nt
Filed under: Thermoplasmata archaeon
Lineage: Archaea; Methanobacteriati; Thermoplasmatota; Thermoplasmata
Also listed under: 3 other names
Description: tRNA-Ser
Rfam family: tRNA
About the family: Transfer RNA (tRNA) molecules are approximately 80 nucleotides in length. Their secondary structure includes four short double-helical elements and three loops (D, anti-codon, and T loops). Further hydrogen bonds mediate the characteristic L-shaped molecular structure. tRNAs have two regions of fundamental functional importance: the anti-codon, which is responsible for specific mRNA codon recognition, and the 3' end, to which the tRNAs corresponding amino acid is attached (by aminoacyl-tRNA synthetases). tRNAs cope with the degeneracy of the genetic code in two manners: having more than one tRNA (with a specific anti-codon) for a particular amino acid; and 'wobble' base-pairing, i.e. permitting non-standard base-pairing at the 3rd anti-codon position.
Source: RNAcentral
GGAGGGGUGGGUGAGCGGUCGAAGCCACCUGUCUGGAGAACAGGUGUACCCGUCAGGGUACCGCGGGUUCAAAUCCCGCCCCCUCCGCCA